GCAGCAAUAAUGGUUCCUAAUAACAACAUUAAUACUGCUUUGAUGGAGAUCCACUUGGGGUUUUCAACACCCUCUACAACCUCAUUGCUUUGAUCCUCCACUUGAUCCUCAAGCCCCAACAGAGCAUGUUCCCUCUUUGCUUGCCGCUGAAAGUUAUCUAAAUACGUGAAUGUCCGAGAGCUGGGGUCAGUUAUGACUGCCCCUGAUCGCUUUGCCUCUUCAAUCCAUUUGGAGAUACCAUGGACGAACUCAUUACAAUCAAUAUAAUUAUCGCGCCUAAUAAUAUCAAAAUCUUUCAUUAUUUUAUCCACAGCAUCAUCCCUAUCAAAGUUAAUCUCUUCAAAACGAAUUCCUAAUAUCAGCGCUUUUAAUUCAGAAGCUGAGAGUCUACCAUCAUGAUUCUCAUCAAUAGCAUGAAACAACUUUUCCAUCACAUCUUUGUUAGGUUGACCAUCAUCAGUCAGGAACCUUCCC
RNAcentral lists this unclassified non-coding RNA (474 nucleotides) under Hevea brasiliensis (rubber tree). The record is from RNAcentral. Lineage: Eukaryota; Viridiplantae; Streptophyta; Magnoliopsida; Malpighiales; Euphorbiaceae.